CGUGUAGGCGGUUUUAUAAGUCUGAUGUGAAAGCCCCGGGCUCAACCUGGGAAGUGCAUUGGAUACUGUAAGACUUGAAUACGGGAGAGGGCAGUGGAAUUCCUGGUGUAGGAGUGAAAUCCGUAGAUAUCAGGAGGAACACCGGUGGCGAAGGCGGCUGCCUGGACCGAUAUUGACGCUGAGACGCGAAAGCGUAGGUAGCAAACA
This 207-nucleotide ribosomal RNA is filed under the name uncultured delta proteobacterium. Its description in RNAcentral is "partial 16S ribosomal RNA". It matches the Rfam family "Bacterial small subunit ribosomal RNA", at positions 568 to 774 of the family's 1533-position model. The record is from RNAcentral. Lineage: Bacteria; Deltaproteobacteria.